RNAcentral lists this ribosomal RNA (484 nucleotides) under uncultured bacterium. RNAcentral's name for it is "partial 16S ribosomal RNA". It matches the Rfam family "Bacterial small subunit ribosomal RNA", at positions 29 to 507 of the family's 1533-position model. The record is from RNAcentral.
AGUGAACGCUGGCGGCAGGCCUAACACAUGCAAGUCGAGCGGAUGAAGGGAGCUUGCUCCUGGAUUCAGCGGCGGACGGGUGAGUAAUGCCUAGGAAUCUGCCUGGUAGUGGGGGAUAACGUCCGGAAACGGGCGCUAAUACCGCAUACGUCCUGAGGGAGAAAGUGGGGGAUCUUCGGACCUCACGCUAUCAGAUGAGCCUAGGUCGGAUUAGCUAGUUGGUGGGGUAAAGGCCUACCAAGGCGACGAUCCGUAACUGGUCUGAGAGGAUGAUCAGUCACACUGGAACUGAGACACGGUCCAGACUCCUACGGGAGGCAGCAGUGGGGAAUAUUGGACAAUGGGCGAAAGCCUGAUCCAGCCAUGCCGCGUGUGUGAAGAAGGUCUUCGGAUUGUAAAGCACUUUAAGUUGGGAGGAAGGGCAGUAAGUUAAUACCUUGCUGUUUUGACGUUACCAACAGAAUAAGCACCGGCUAACUUCGUG